Molecule: long non-coding RNA, 889 nt
Filed under: Ananas comosus (pineapple)
Lineage: Eukaryota; Viridiplantae; Streptophyta; Magnoliopsida; Poales; Bromeliaceae
Description: long non-coding RNA (ACOM_LNC026805)
Source: RNAcentral
CAAUUAAAUUUCUUAUCUAUUCUAAUUUUGUUAUUUUUUUUUGUUCUGUUGGAUUUCAGUGCGUUAAGAGCUAUAAUACAUUGAGAGAAAGAUUUCUGACGAUACAACCAAUUAAUGAAAGCCCUAUAAACAUUGGAAGAAGGGGCAUUAAAGAUAUAGAAUUUAGCAGUGAAAGAGUGUUUGUAAAUUAUAAUGUAUAGAAAUUAGUAAGUUAAUUUAAGUCUCUUUGUAUUUGUUGAUCAUAUUAUUCUCUCAUUGCUGCGAUAAAUGUAUCUUUAGACCCACAUGUUUAACUAAACAUAGAGUAGAGCUUUCCACUACCAUUUUAUGCAUUGUAAGUACUUCCCGACUUUUUCACGUAUUCUAACGAAUGAAAGCUAAUUAUGAUAUCAUUUUGAUUAAUUGUUAUAUAUCUUAAUUUAUUUCUAUAGAAAUGGCCCGUUGCAACGCGCGGGUACCUACAUUAGUUAAGCAUAGUAACAGGAUCACCAAUAGGAAUAAAGGAUAAAGUCAUAGCUGAAAAAAUAAAAUGUAUGUUUUAUCAAUAAAAUAUCAUAUCCAAAAAUUAUCAUACCAAAAUUGAAAAAAUACUCCUUAUAUGACAUCACAAUACCUCCUUUAGAAGCAGAGUUAUGAGUACAAGUAUUUAUCAUUCUUUAUGUAUAUGCUUUAUAUGACAUCACAAUACCUCCUUUGGGAGCAGAGUUUUGAGAAUAAAUAUGCAAUAUCUUUAUCAGAGAUUAAUUUAAACUUUUUGCAGGUCAUGGUAAUUUCAAAAUUUUCAUAUGAAAAAAUUGUCAGGUUUGACCAGGCAAAUUUCUCCAAACGAGUUAUAAGAAAAUUACCAUCCUACACCACCUAUUUACCUUCAUGUCUAGACUUCCUUUGG